GUGAAGAACGCAGUGAAAUGCGAUAAGUAAUGUGAAUUGCAGAAUUCAGUGAAUCAUCGAAUCUUUGAACGCACAUUGCGCCCGUCAGUAUUCUGGCGGGCAUGCCUGUUCGAGCGUCAUUACGCCCCUCAAGUCCCCUGUGGACUUGGUGUUGGGGAUCGGCGAGGCUGGUUUUCCAGCACAGCCGUCCCUUAAAUUAAUUGGCGGUCUCGCCGUGGCCCUCCUCUGCGCAGUAGUAAAACACUCGCAACAGGAGCCCGGCGCGGUCCACUGCCGUAAAACCCCCCAACUUUUUAUAGUUGACCUCGAAUCAGGUAGGACUACCCGCUGAACUUAAGCAUAUCAAUAAGCGGAGGA
Molecule: unclassified non-coding RNA, 357 nt
Filed under: soil metagenome
Description: partial contains 5.8S ribosomal RNA, internal transcribed spacer 2, and large subunit ribosomal RNA
Rfam family: 5.8S ribosomal RNA (bases 2-119)
Source: RNAcentral